AAAGAGAGAAAGAGAGAAAGAGAUGGAUCGUUAGACUCGAGGACGAUCGAGAAACGUCUAUUAAGUUCAUUAGACUAUCACGAGCAGAAGAUACAAAACUUGUUUUUGCAACAUACUCCUCGAGAUUUGUUCUUCUUCGUUGUCUUCAAAUGUGCUUCAAGGAAGCGUAAAAGUUGGACACCCCUGGAUUAUUAAAUCGAGGCGUCAAGAAGAAACUUAAAAAACAUCGCUAAGCAUCUAACCUUGCUCGUUAGCCUCUACCUCGUAGGACUAACGUAGGUGAGGACUAAGUUUCUUCUCAGACUUUCAGUUGGCUAGCUAACGGUAACGGCUA
Polistes canadensis is the source of this 334-nucleotide long non-coding RNA. RefSeq lists it as uncharacterized. The record is from RefSeq and is a predicted model, not a curated record. The transcript is spliced from 2 exons. NCBI's taxonomy places the organism in Eukaryota, Metazoa, Arthropoda, Insecta, Hymenoptera, Vespidae.